GAUUUUAGAUUCCUACCAAAGGCCAAAUAAAUAAAUAAAUAAAUCUUCGUCGCGGUACCGUUCUUCGCUCUCUCGUUCCCAUCUGUCACCUACCCCCCGACGCAUCCUUGGACCUAAGGGAACAUGCUCUCCUCUCUUAAUCUCUUUUUUUUUCCUAUUAUUUCUAAUUUUCCUUCUUAAACCCUAAAUUCUCGAAAUAAUAGGGCCUUAUCUCCCGAUUCCGCGUCUAUACUUUGGAAAUUUCUGCUAUUUUGAGAUCUAAUUCCGAUCCAAUAUCGGGGAGGUAGACAGGGAGCAUUAAUGGAUGGGACUCCCAACAACAUCCAAAAUGACAAUAAAGGAGAGAAAUUGAAGGAAUGUAACAAGAAGGAGGAGGAGGUGAAGGAGAUGGCACCAGGUUCGUCGGCUCCGAUUCAUCGAUCAAGCUCACGGCUGCAGCUUGAUCUCAGUGGGGCUGCAAUACAAGGCAACUUUGAGGAGCGGAAUCCAACAAUCCUGUUGCCUAACCAGUCGGAUGACAUCUCCCACUUGGCCCUUGACAUCGGAGGGUCUCUGAUUAAGUUGGUUUACUUCUCGAGACAUGAAGAGCAGUCACCUGAUGAUAAGAGGAAAAGAUCCAUAAAAAAGAGGUUUGGAAUCUCUAAUGGUAGCAGGAGGAGCUAUCCAAUUUUGGGUGGGAGGCUCCAUUUUGUAAAAUUUGAAACGGGGAAGUUGAAUGAAUGUCUGGAUUUCAUUUCAGCCAAGCAGCUUCAUCGUGGAGGACUUGAUUCACCAUCAUGGCAUUCUGGGACUAGACCUGAGGAUAACACAAUAAUAAUCAAGGCAACGGGUGGUGGGGCAUACAAAUUUGCAGAUGUGUUUAAAGAGAGACUUGGAGUUAGUCUUGAUAAGGAAGAUGAAAUGGAUUGUCUUGUAGCUGGUGCUAAUUUUUUGCUUAAGGCAAUCCGCCAUGAAGCUUUUACACACAUGGAGGGCCAGAAAGAGUUCGUGCAGAUUGAUCAUAACGAUCUGUUCCCCUAUCUUCUUGUUAAUGUUGGUUCUGGAGUUAGUAUUAUUAAGGUGGAUGGGGAUGGAAAAUUUCAACGGGUUAGUGGGACUAAUGUUGGUGGUGGUACUUAUUGGGGAUUAGGGAGGUUGUUGACAAAGUGCAACAGCUUUGAUGAGUUGUUAGAGUUGAGCCAGCAGGGAGACAAUAGCAAUGUUGACAUGCUUGUUGGAGAUAUAUAUGGUGGUAUGGACUAUUCCAAGAUUGGACUCUCGGCAUCAACUAUUGCCUCCAGUUUUGGAAAGACAAUUUCAGAAAGCAAGGAACUGUCAGACUACAGACCAGAAGAUAUCUCUCUCUCCCUCCUGCGAAUGAUUUCAUAUAAUAUUGGACAGAUCUCCUACCUGAAUGCGCUUCGGUAUGGGCUCAAAAGGAUUUUCUUUGGAGGAUUUUUCAUUCGUGGUCAUGCUUAUACCAUGGACACUAUUUCUUUUGCAGUGCAUUUCUGGUCCAAGGGGCAGGCACAAGCCAUGUUUUUGCGCCAUGAGGGCUUUCUCGGAGCUCUUGGUGCAUUCAUGAGCUAUGAAAAGCAUGGCCUUGAUGUCUUGAGGGCACAUCAGUUGGUGGAACGGUUCCCUAUGGGAGCUCCUUGUGUUGGGGGAAAGAUUCAUGGUCCUCCUCUAGGUGAUCUGAAUGAGAAGAUAUCUUGGAUGGAGAAGUUUGUGCAGAAGGGUACUGAGAUUACAGCUCCUGUCCCAAUGGCUCCACCUGGAACUACUGGUGUGGGAGGUUUCGAGCGACCUUCUUCCAGGGGCAACGCCUUGAGAUCAGAUGCAAGUGCUGCAUUAAAUAUCGGUGUUCUCCAUCUUGUACCCACGCUGGAGGUGUUUCCUUUAUUGGCAGAUCCUAAGAUAUAUGAACCAAACACUAUUGAUCUCUCAGAUCAUAGUGAGCUUGAGUUUUGGUUUAUGGUGUUAUCAGAGCAUUUGCCUGACCUUGUUGCUAAGGCUGUAGCAAGUGAAGGAGGAACGGAUGAUGCUAAAAGGAGGGGAGAUGCAUUUGCACGGGCCUUCUCAGCUCACUUGGCAAGGUUGAUGGAAGAGCCUGCUGCUUAUGGGAAGUUAGGCCUGGCCAAUCUUUUGGAGCUAAGGGAAGAAUGCUUGCGGGAGUUUCAGUUUGUUGAUGCCUAUAUUACUAUCAAACAGAGGGAAAAUGAGGCUUCUCUUGCUGUUCUACCAGAUCUUCUUAUUGAGCUUGAUAGUAUGAAUGAGGAAGAAAGACUGCUUGCUCUCAUCGAAGGUGUUCUUGCUGCAAAUAUAUUUGAUUGGGGAUCUCGUGCUUGUGUUGACCUUUACCACAAAGGAACUAUAAUUGAAAUUUAUCGGAUGAGCCGCAAAAAGAUGCAACGACCCUGGCGGGCAAGUUCUUAUAGAAACAAAGAUCUCCUGUCAAAAGAUAAAGUGGAUGACUUCGAUAUGUUUAAAAAAAGAAUGCUUGGUUGUGGAGCCAAGAAACCCCCACCACAUAGAAGAGCAUUGCUCUUUGUGGAUAACUCAGGUGCUGAUGUUGUUCUUGGGAUGCUUCCGUUAGCUCGAGAGCUCCUUCGGCGAGGAACUGAGGUUGUUCUGGUUGCAAAUUCCUUACCGGCUUUAAAUGAUGUUACUGCCAAUGAGCUUCCUGAAAUUGUAGCCGAAGCUGCUAAGCAUUGUGAUAUCCUUCGUAAAGCUGCUGAAGCUGGAGGGCUGCUCGUGGAUGCAAUGGUUAGUGUAGAACAUGGACUGGUAGAUAAUUCAGCUUCUGUUCCCCUUAUGGUUGUUGAGAAUGGGUGUGGGGGCCCAUGCAUAGAUUUCCGGCAGGUCAGCUCAGAGCUUGCUGCUGCUGCAAGAGAUGCAGAUUUGAUAAUUUUGGAAGGCAUGGGCCGAGCUCUACAUACCAACUUCAAUGCCCGUUUUAGGUGCGAUGCUCUAAAGCUUGCAAUGGUGAAGAAUCAGAGAUUGGCUGAAAAGCUGUUCAAUGGAAAUAUAUAUGACUGUGUCUGUCGGUUUGAGCCUACUGGAGAACAGCAGCAACACAACUUCAGCUGAUCCUAUAACCCUUGAAACUUAUUGUCUGAAGGUAGACACAAUAGGAGCAUGAGUCUUCAAAAGUUUUCUCACAACUUCCGUCCAGGUUUUUUGGUGAUCUCUGGUACCAAGGAAUGUGGGAUUUUCAUGGCACCUGGCCUACCAUCUGAACUUCAAUUCUGAAUAAGCUAUCUGCAUCACAGAGGUUGCUGCUGGAACAGGUUUUCGAAGCUAGCAGUUCAUAUACGAUGAAACAGCUAUCCAGUUUUGAAGCGCCAAUUUUUAUGUCUUACAGAUUCGGUUAUAGAAAAACAAAAAGUGGCCUGUAUUUUUUAAGAUACAGAUUUGCAGAAAGAUCUGGGUCAUGUACCUGGUCCAGUAAUAAUUUAUAAUUUUGUUUUCACAUAGAAGUUAUCGGUUAUAAUGUCAUCCAAUGAAUUGUUUUUUAGCUUAAUAGUUAUGGCCGAGACUUUUGCCAACAGAUAAGCCUGAAGUUUUAAAAAUACAAAGAUAUGAUUUGGAU
RNA transcript from Elaeis guineensis (African oil palm), 3571 nucleotides. It is a transcript of the gene named pantothenate kinase 2, with no coding region annotated. The record is from RefSeq and is a predicted model, not a curated record. Lineage: Eukaryota; Viridiplantae; Streptophyta; Magnoliopsida; Arecales; Arecaceae.